RNAcentral lists this ribosomal RNA (253 nucleotides) under uncultured bacterium. RNAcentral's name for it is "partial 16S ribosomal RNA". It matches the Rfam family "Bacterial small subunit ribosomal RNA", at positions 524 to 776 of the family's 1533-position model. The record is from RNAcentral.
UACGAAGGGGGCGAGCGUUGUUCGGAUUUACUGGGCGUAAAGGGCGCGCAGGCGGCUAUCCAAGUCAGGCGUGAAAGCCCCGGGCUUAACCUGGGAGGUGCGUCUGGGACUGGGUGGCUAGAGAUCGGGAGAGGAGAGUGGAAUUCCCAGUGUAGAGGUGAAAUUCGUAGAUAUUGGGAAGAACACCGGUGGCGAAGGCGGCUCUCUGGACCGAUACUGACGCUGAGGCGCGAAAGCCAGGGGAGCAAACGGG